UGGGGGAUAUUGCACAAUGGGCGAAAGCCUGAUGCAGCGACGCCGCGUGGGGGAUGAAGGCUUUCGGGUUGUAAACCUCUUUCGCUAUCGAACAAGGCCCGCUUAGGUUGGGUUGAGGGUAGGUGGAGAAGAAGCGCCGGCUAACUACGUGCCAGCAGCCGCGGUAAUCCGUAGGGCGCGAGCGUUGUCCGGAAUUAUUGGGCGUAAAGGGCUUGUAGGCGGCUUGUUGCGCCUGCUGUGAAAACGCGGGGCUUAACUUCGCGCGUGCAGUGGGUACGGGCAGGCUUGAGUGUGGUAGGGGUGACUGGAAUUCCAGGUGUAGCGGUGGAAUGCGCAGAUAUCUGGAGGAACACCGAUGGCGAAGGCAGGUCACUGGGCCAUUACUGACGCUGAGGAGCGAAAGCAUGGGUAGCGAACAGG
Molecule: ribosomal RNA, 420 nt
Filed under: bacterium
Lineage: Bacteria
Description: partial 16S ribosomal RNA
Rfam family: Bacterial small subunit ribosomal RNA
Source: RNAcentral